CCUACGGGAGGCAGCAGUGAGGAAUAUUGGUCAAUGGGCGGAAGCCUGAACCAGCCAAGUAGCGUGCGGGAUGAAGGCCCUACGGGUCGUAAACCGCUUUUGCACGGGGAUAACACCCUCCACUUGUGGACGUCGGCAGGUACCGUGCGAAUAAGGGCCGGCCAAUUCCGUGCAAGCAGCCGCGGUAAUACGGAAGGCCCGAGCGUUAUCCGGAUUCUGUGGGCUUAAAGGGAGCGUAGGCGGGCGUUAAAGUCAGCUGUAAAAUCGCGCGGCUCAACCGCGCCCCGCAGUUGAAAGUGGACGCCUUGAGUUCACAACAGGCAGGCGGAAUUCGUGGUGUAGCGGUGAAAUGCAUAGAGAUCACGAGGAACCCCGAUUGCGAAGGCAGCCUGCCGGGGUGCGACUGACGCUGAGGCUCGAAGGUGCGGGGAUCAAACAGGAUUAGAUACCCGAGUAGUC
RNAcentral lists this ribosomal RNA (459 nucleotides) under uncultured bacterium. Its description in RNAcentral is "partial 16S ribosomal RNA". It matches the Rfam family "Bacterial small subunit ribosomal RNA", at positions 338 to 795 of the family's 1533-position model. The record is from RNAcentral.